This 69-nucleotide ribosomal RNA is filed under the name Neobacillus niacini. RNAcentral describes it as "partial 16S ribosomal RNA". It matches the Rfam family "Bacterial small subunit ribosomal RNA", at positions 1 to 69 of the family's 1533-position model. Lineage: Bacteria; Bacillati; Bacillota; Bacilli; Caryophanales; Bacillaceae. The record is from RNAcentral. RNAcentral also lists the same sequence under 2 other names.
UUCUUGGAGAGUUUGAUCCUGGCUCAGGACGAACGCUGGCGGCGUGCCUAAUACAUGCAAGUCGAGCGA